This 253-nucleotide ribosomal RNA is filed under the name uncultured bacterium. RNAcentral's name for it is "partial 16S ribosomal RNA". It matches the Rfam family "Bacterial small subunit ribosomal RNA", at positions 524 to 776 of the family's 1533-position model. The record is from RNAcentral.
UACAGAGGUCCCAAGCGUUGUUCGGAUUCACUGGGCGUAAAGGGUGCGUAGGCGGUCGGGUAAGUCUGAUGUGAAAUCUCACAGCUUAACUGUGAAACUGCAUUGGAUACUAUUCGGCUUGAGAGUUGGAGGGGGGACUGGAAUUCUUGGUGUAGCAGUGAAAUGCGUAGAUAUCAAGAGGAACACCAGUGGCGAAGGCGAUCAUCUGGGGUUGUUCUGACACUGAGGAGCGAAAGCUAGGGGAGCAAACGGG